GGACCCGCACAAGCAGCGGAGCAUGUGGUUUAAUUCGAAGCAACGCGAAGAACCUUACCAAAACUUGACAUCCCUCUGACCCAUCCUUAAUCGGAUGCUCUCUUCGGAGCAGAGGUGACAGGUGGUGCAUGGUUGUCGUCAGCUCGUGUCGUGAGAUGUUGGGUUAAGUCCCGCAACGAGCGCAACCCCUAUUUUUAGUUGCCAGCACUUCGGGUGGGCACUCUAAAGAGACUGCCGAGGAUAACUUGGAGGAAGGUGGGGAUGACGUCAAAUCAUCAUGCCCCUUAUGUUUUGGGCUACACACGUGCUACAAUGGCUGGUACAGAGAGCAGCAAGAGAGUGAUCUGGAGCAAAUCUUUAAAGCCAGUCUCAGUUCGGAUUGUAGGCUGCAACUCGCCUACAUGAAGUUGGAGUUGCUAGUAAUCGCAAAUCAGAAUGUUGCGGUGAAUGCGUUCCCGGGUCUU
RNAcentral lists this ribosomal RNA (464 nucleotides) under uncultured bacterium. RNAcentral's name for it is "bacterial SSU rRNA". It matches the Rfam family "Bacterial small subunit ribosomal RNA", at positions 917 to 1382 of the family's 1533-position model. The record is from RNAcentral.